GGGAGAAGAAGGGCCCCUCCAAGCCCGUGUCCUCCAGCAAGUCCCCAGCCAAGAGCGGCAGCGAGAGCUUCAAGAGCAAAGAGUUUGUGUCCAGUGAUGAGAGCUCCUCGGCCGAGAGCAAGAAGGAGGACUCGGAGGAGGAGGGGGCAGCCAGCCCAGCCCCCAGCUCGGAGGAGUCGGCGUCCGGCUCGGAUUGACCUCCCUGUGGAUGAGCCCCCUGGGAUGAGCCCCCUCGUGGAGCAGCCCCCACAGGAUGAGCCCCUCCCCGGCCGGCCCCAGGCCUGUUCCGAGGGGGGGCUGAGAGGGGUGACCCCUGACACCCCAGGGAGUGGGGCAGGCGACCUCCGGCCCCCCCAGCCCAGCCCUCAGCGCCGGGCGGGUGAGUGGGACCCCCCGUGGGGGGGCCCUGGGUGCUUUCCCCCCCAGCCCCAUUUUGCAUCAAUUUAUUUUUUUUACACA
This is a long non-coding RNA of Apus apus (common swift), 459 nucleotides long. RefSeq lists it as uncharacterized. NCBI's taxonomy places the organism in Eukaryota, Metazoa, Chordata, Aves, Apodiformes, Apodidae. The transcript is spliced from 2 exons. The record is from RefSeq and is a predicted model, not a curated record.